AACCUUUAUGUGCCAUAACACAGCAACUGCUGACCGGUUCUAUGCGCUUGUCAUGGACCGCAGCCAGGCGAGGGAAUUGAGGGGAACAUUUGAGGAGGUGACAGCCUCCUCCUCACAUGCCACCAGCAAGGGGGGGCACCGAGCGCUGCAGCAACGGUACCGGAAGGCGGCCGACACCUCAAGCGGGCACAGUGGUGAAUCGGCUGCAGGGCAGGAGGAGCCCACCGCCAAGCGGCAACAGCCUGAGAGUCAGGCAGAGGAGGAAGAGGACCAGCAAGUUAUACCCAAGGGAUUAAAAAAAAUUGGUGGUCAUGAUAAGCCCCCUGCAACGGGCAAAAGAAAAAAGGAGAAAAAUGCCAUAAAGGAAGAGAUGAACAUUUAAUAUUCAUCUCUUCCUUUUUGUAUUGUGUUUAUUUUAUAUAUAUUUGUUUAAAUGUGUGUUUUCAAUAAAUGUAAAAUAUAUCA
Long non-coding RNA from Pseudoliparis swirei, 465 nucleotides. RefSeq lists it as uncharacterized. NCBI's taxonomy places the organism in Eukaryota, Metazoa, Chordata, Actinopteri, Perciformes, Liparidae. The record is from RefSeq and is a predicted model, not a curated record. The transcript has 2 exons.